GGACGAACGCUGGCGGCGUGCUUAACACAUGCAAGUGGAGCGACGAACCGGGCUUGCCCCGGGGCAGAGCCGCGAACGGGUGAGUAACACGUGGGUAACCUGCCUCAAUGAUUGGGACAACCCGGGGAAACUCGGGCUAAUACCAAAUGUGUUCACUCCUUCUAAGGGGAGUGAGGAAAGGAAGCUUCGGCCUCCGCAUUGAGAUGGGCCCGCGGCCCAUUAGCUUGUUGGUGAGGUAACGGCUCACCAAGGCUUCGAUGGGUAGCUGGUCUGAGAGGACGAUCAGCCACACUGGGACUGAGACACGGCCCAGACUCCUACGGGAGGCAGCAGUGGGGAAUCUUGCACAAUGCGCGAAAGCGUGAUGCAGCAACGCCGCGUGGGGAAGACGGCCUUCGGGUUGUAAACCCCUUUCAGUUGGGACGAAGCUUCGUCGGUGAAUAGCCGGUUGGAGUGACGGUACCUUCAGAAGAAGCCCCGGCUAACUACGUG
RNAcentral lists this ribosomal RNA (492 nucleotides) under uncultured bacterium. RNAcentral describes it as "bacterial SSU rRNA". It matches the Rfam family "Bacterial small subunit ribosomal RNA", at positions 27 to 507 of the family's 1533-position model. The record is from RNAcentral.